GGGGAUUUGAAAGCACAAGCAGCUGAAAUAGUCCUCAAAUUAUUGUGAACCUGUCUUAACAUAUCUUUCUGAAUUUCAUAUUUAUAAGUAUAUGUAUAAAAUUCAUUUUUGUUUUCAUAGGAAAAUGCAUUAAUGGAAAUGGCUAUGUAGUGAAGCAGACAAUUAGACUUUCUGAAAUAAAUAUGCAGAGAGUUCAUCAAUAUGGCAAACAGUGUUUCUGGAGCCCAGAUUGUAACACAUAUUAGGAAUUACACACAAAGAAAAGAAAAAAAAGUUCCCUAUUUUCCUGGAGAAAUGAGAAAAGUGAAGCCUGAGGAAUUUAUGCAUGUGAUCUGAAAUCAAAUGGAUAUUAACUCUGGAAAUCAGUAUAUUCCAUUGAUUAUAGAAGACUGUUUUCCUAAGAGAAAACACAAUUCGGCCUGCAAACUACUAUCACAAAACAGUCUACAUCAUGACCAGACAACUGAUUUUUUCACUGAAGUGUGGGCAAGAUAAGAGGUCAAUUGUAGUUACUUUGAAACUGGACCAUUUCCUUCUGUGAGCAGGAGUAAGCUGAAGGUCUGAGGUAAGUAAAUGUCCAUCUCCUCAUAAUUCUAUCUUGGCCAGCAU
RNAcentral lists this long non-coding RNA (609 nucleotides) under Oryctolagus cuniculus (rabbit). Its description in RNAcentral is "lncRNA (ENSOCUG00000035508.1)". Lineage: Eukaryota; Metazoa; Chordata; Mammalia; Lagomorpha; Leporidae. The record is from RNAcentral.